GUGAAUCAUCGAAUUUUUGAACGCAAAUUGCACUCUCUGCGGAGAGUAUGCGUGUUUGAGGGUCAGAAUUAAUAAAAAUCGGAGUAUUGCUACUUUGUGACGCCCCGGAGUUUGGGCCAGCUUAUAUCCUUUAGGUUUUAAGAGGCUUAAAAUUGACUUUUUUUGCGCAUUUUAGAUGUACAUAAACGCUUUUUUUGAUUCGUCUGUCUUAAUGCUUAAAUUCCUAUU
RNAcentral lists this unclassified non-coding RNA (228 nucleotides) under Glomeraceae sp. RNAcentral describes it as "partial contains 5.8S ribosomal RNA and internal transcribed spacer 2". The stretch from base 1 to 65 matches the Rfam family "5.8S ribosomal RNA", at positions 84 to 154 of the family's 154-position model. The record is from RNAcentral. Lineage: Eukaryota; Fungi; Glomeromycota; Glomeromycetes; Glomerales; Glomeraceae.